This 2485-nucleotide long non-coding RNA is filed under the name Pelobates cultripes (western spadefoot toad). The record is from RNAcentral. Lineage: Eukaryota; Metazoa; Chordata; Amphibia; Anura; Pelobatidae.
CUGCUUACUGCUAGUUAGGGGUUAACGGUAAAAAAAGUUUAUAAAAUAUUUUAAGUGUAAAAAAAAAAAAAAAUGUCAAAAAGAUUAAAAAUGAGUUUUAAAAAGUAAAAAAAUACAUUGGAAAAUGCUCAUUACCACUACCCUUGGAACAUACUAGCGAAAAAAUGAUCCCACGGUAAGGUUCAAAAUAUAACUUUUGAAUUACCCUGGGGUGUAGUCUUUAAUAAAUAGUAUGUGUUUGUGGGGAAGUUUGAAUAACCAGCCAGCUACACUACUCCAAAAUGGAACAUGGACACAGCGUUAAACUUCAAAGUUAGAAAAAAACUGAAUGGAUGCGUUUCAAAUGUGCCCCUUCAACAUCCACAUAUACCUGGCAAAAGUACAUACGGGGGUAUUGCUGUACUCAGACGACAUAGCUGAGCAACAUAUGAAGUAUUAUACAGUCGUGGCACACAUAAGGUUUGCAAAAUAUACUGUGCAAACUCACUCUGUGUGUCAAAAAGUCAUCUGAAAUAAUUACCCCUAAAUCCCUUUCCUCAGAUGUUGAGGUUAGUAGUGUAUCAAAUAUUCUACACUCUGCUCUUGAGUUUUUAUGCCGAAGAUGCAUUAUCUUGCAUUUAUCCACAUUAAAUGUCAGUUGCCACAGCUCUGACCCAGGGCCGGUGCAAGGAUUUUUGCCGCCCUAGGCAAAAUAAAAAUUUUACACCCCCCCCCCCCAUUUGCGCUGCCCACCAUGUAACAUCACAAUGCCCAACCCAUAUGAUUUGUCAUAUGAACCAACUUCAGUUCUGCACACAGUGUGUUUACAUUAAAAACGGGAACGGGAACUAGCUCCAUUUUUGGGGGCCCCUUACACAGCUCUAGGUCUGCACCCCCACGGCCGGACAGUGAGUAUGCCCAUAAGGCCCACCCAUAGAGGAUCUAAUGUGUGUGCUUAUGGAAUGUAGAGUAUAUGGAUACCAGAUUGUGUAGGCGAUGCAGUGUGUGUGUAGUGGAUGCAGUGUGUUUUUGUGUAAAGGAUAGAAAGUAUUGUGUGUUUGUGUGUAAGGGAUGUAUUGUGUGUGUAAGGGAUUCAUUGUAUGAAUCUGUGUUUGUAUGUGUAAGGGAUGCAAGGUGUGUUUAUGUGUAUGUAAGGGAUGCAGUGUGUGUGUCUGUAAGGGCAGGGCCGGAUUAACAUAGGGGCUGAUGGAGCUGCAGCUCCAGGCCCAUGGAAUAGGCCCAUUUAAAAAACAAACCCCCCCACUUUUUUUUUUUUUACACACUACUCUUAGGUCUGCCAUCUGACUGGUAUUUUACAAGCACAGACGGUAUUUGAGGCUGCCUGGCCGUGCCGGUAUUGCAGUAAUACCGGCAUUACAAAUGCAGAUAUUUUUCUCAGUCUAAAAGGAGAUUCCUCUGCAAUACCAGCAACCAGCCAGCACUGUGUGGAGAGAGGAAGGGAUAGGAAGUUUCAGCAUAUCCCUCCCUGCCUCUCUCUACUCACUAAUCCGCGGGGGAGCAGCUACAGAGCACAGAGAGUCUAGACAGCAGUUCCCAGCCUGCAGAGACAGCCUACAGCUCAGGGAAGUAAGGGAUGAGGGGAAAGGCAGCAGGGAGACAUGGGGACAUUGAGACACUAAAGGACACAUGGGGACACUGGGAGACCUGGGGACACUGAGACACUAGGGGACACUGUGAGACAUGGGGAUGCUGUGAGACAUAGGGACAUUGGGAUACACAUUGGGACGCGGAGACACUAGGAACACAGUGUCCCCAUGUCUCCCAGCCAGUGUCCCUAGUGUCUCUGUGUCCCCAGGUCUCCCAGUGUCCCUAAAUGUCUGUGUCCCCAUGUCUCCCAGUGUCUACAUGUCCCCCAGCCAGUGUCCCUAGUGUCUCAGUGUCCCCAUGUCUCCCAGCCAGUGUCCCUAGUGUCUGUGUCCCCAUGUCUGCCAGUGUCUGUGUUCCCAUGUCUCUGUGUCUUUAGUGUCCCCAAAUGUCUGUGUCCCCAUGCCUCCCAGCCAGUGUCCCUAGUGCCUCAGUAUCCCCAUGUCUCCCAGUGUCCCCUAGUAUCCCUAGUGUCUUAGUGUUCCCAAAUGUCUCAGUGUCCCUAUAUAUGUCAUGAUCUUGUGCAGGCCAGAUAGGGGAUUUAUGCCAGGGUUGAUUUCAGGUACUUUUUUUUUGUGAUUUUAGACAUAUUAUGAAACUUGAGGCAAAACAGAAUUUAGGUAAUAUGCCACAAAACAGGAUAAAUAAUAAUAAUGUCUAAUUUCCAGGUAGGCUGGUUACAAAGGUAGGCUGGUUUGAAGUAUAAGUAAGGAUGGAGCAGGUUAUUGUUAGGAGUAGUUCUUCCACUGUUACCUGGAAAUUACAGGCAUUCAUUAUUAUUUGCAAGUAACCUGUUCUGUGGCAAGUAUCCUGUUUGGUGGCAUAUUGCCUAAAGUCUGUUUUCAUUCAAGUUUCAUAAUAUGUCUAAAAACACUAAUAAAGUACCUGAAGUUAACCCUGG